RNAcentral lists this ribosomal RNA (465 nucleotides) under Vreelandella stevensii. RNAcentral describes it as "partial 16S ribosomal RNA". It matches the Rfam family "Bacterial small subunit ribosomal RNA", at positions 338 to 795 of the family's 1533-position model. The record is from RNAcentral. Lineage: Bacteria; Pseudomonadati; Pseudomonadota; Gammaproteobacteria; Oceanospirillales; Halomonadaceae.
CCUACGGGAGGCAGCAGUGGGGAAUAUUGGACAAUGGGUGGAACCCUGAUCCAGCCAUGCCGCGUGUGUGAAGAAGGCCCUCGGGUUGUAAAGCACUUUCAGUGAGGAAGAACGCCUGGUGGUUAAUACCCAUCAGGAAAGACAUCACUCACAGAAGAAGCACCGGCUAACUCCGUGCCAGCAGCCGCGGUAAUACGGAGGGUGCGAGCGUUAAUCGGAAUUACUGGGCGUAAAGCGCGCGUAGGUGGCUUGAUAAGCCGGUUGUGAAAGCCCCGGGCUCAACCUGGGAACGGCAUCCGGAACUGUCAAGCUAGAGUGCAGGAGAGGAAGGUAGAAUUCCCGGUGUAGCGGUGAAAUGCGUAGAGAUCGGGAGGAAUACCAGUGGCGAAGGCGGCCUUCUGGACUGACACUGACACUGAGGUGCGAAAGCGUGGGUAGCAAACAGGAUUAGAUACCCCUGUAGUC